UACGUAGGUGGCGAGCGUUGUCCGGAUUUACUGGGCGUAAAGAGCGCGCAGGCGGUCGUUCAAGUCGCGUGUGAAAGCCCCCGGCUCAACUGGGGAGGGUCACGCGAUACUGUUCGACUCGAAGGCAGGAGAGGGAAGCAGAAUUCCCGGUGUAGUGGUGAAAUGCGUAGAUAUCGGGAGGAAUACCAGUGGCGAAGGCGGCUUCCUGGCCUGUUCUUGACGCUGAGGCGCGAAAGCUAGGGUAGCAAACGGG
This 253-nucleotide ribosomal RNA is filed under the name uncultured bacterium. RNAcentral's name for it is "partial 16S ribosomal RNA". It matches the Rfam family "Bacterial small subunit ribosomal RNA", at positions 524 to 776 of the family's 1533-position model. The record is from RNAcentral.